This 459-nucleotide ribosomal RNA is filed under the name uncultured bacterium. Its description in RNAcentral is "SSU rRNA". It matches the Rfam family "Bacterial small subunit ribosomal RNA", at positions 26 to 518 of the family's 1533-position model. The record is from RNAcentral.
AGGAUGAACGCUGGCGGCGUGCCUAAUACAUGCAAGUCGAGCGGUAAGGCCCCUUCGGGGGUACACGAGCGGCGGACGGCUGAGUAACACGUAGGAACGUACCCCAAAGUGAGGGAUAAGCACCAGAAAUGGUGUCUAAUACCGCAUGUGCUCUUCGGAGGAAAGCUUCGGCGCUUUGGGAACGGCCUGCGCAUGAUUAGCUUGUUGGUGAGGUAAUGGCUCACCAAGGCGACGAUCAUUAGCUGGUCUGAGAGGAUGAUCAGCCAGACUGGGACUGAGAACGGCCCAGACUCCUACGGGAGGCAGCAGUAGGGAAUUUUCCACAAUGGGCGAAAGCCUGAUGGAGCAACGCCGCGUGCAGGAUGAAUGCCCUCGGGUUGUAAACCCUUUCGGCAGGGACGAAGCGAAAGUGACGGUACCUGACAAAGAAGCGCCGGCUAACUACGUGCCAGCAGCCGC